RNAcentral lists this ribosomal RNA (359 nucleotides) under uncultured bacterium. RNAcentral describes it as "bacterial SSU rRNA". It matches the Rfam family "Bacterial small subunit ribosomal RNA", at positions 8 to 353 of the family's 1533-position model. The record is from RNAcentral.
AGAGUUUGAUCAUGGCUCAGGAUGAACGCUAGCUACAGGCUUAACACAUGCAAGUCGAGGGGAAGCGGCAUUAAGUGCUUGCACUUUUUGGACGUCGACCGGCGCACGGGUGAGUAACGCGUAUCCAACCUGCCCCUUACCAGGGGAAUAACCCGUUGAAAGACGGACUAAUGCCCUAUGGAGUCCUUUGACGGCAUCAGAUUAGGACUAAAGAUUCAUCGGUAUGGGAUGGGGAUGCGUCUGAUUAGCUUGUUGGCGGGGUAACGGCCCACCAAGGCAUCGAUCAGUAGGGGGUUCUGAGAGGAACGGUCCCCCACAUAGGAACUGAGACACGGUCCUAACUCCUACGGGAGGCAGCA